Molecule: non-coding RNA, 2258 nt
Organism: Misgurnus anguillicaudatus (oriental weatherfish)
Lineage: Eukaryota; Metazoa; Chordata; Actinopteri; Cypriniformes; Cobitidae
Source: RefSeq, a predicted model, not a curated record
CACAGUAAUGAAAUGGUAGUCGGACGGCCUUCGGGGGCGCCGUCGAUGUGAUCGGUCACAGGAAGAUGCGGCCGUCUGGCCUCAAAGGCUGUUGCUCAUACUUACCUGGCAGGGGAGAUACCAUGAUCAUGAAGGUGGUUCACCCAGGGCGAGGCUCAGCCAUUGCACUCCGGUUGUGCUGACCCUUUGCGAAUUCCCCAAAUGUGGGAAUCUCGACUGCAAAAUUUCUGAUAGUGGGGGACUGCGUUCGCGCUCUCCCCUGGCCUUUGUGUUAAAAAUAGAUUCGUUUGUCUGUUUACGGAAAAUCCAAGAGACGUCUAACCACGGCACAAGAACGCAUUGGUCAUCAAAAAGCGGCUAUUAAACGACUACAUAACUUCUAAUAGACCGCGAAUAUGUGUCUAGGCUAAAACAAGGCUUAAUUUGGGCUGUCAGUGAAAAUCUAAUAGACGUUUGACCGUUCCCCAAGUAUAGACUGGCCAUUAAAUAGAACCACAAUCAAACAGCUACAUGUCUAAGAGACAUUCAACAAAAUAAUGCUUAGAUGAUUCUUUUACUUACAAUGUAAGCGGUUCUCAGGAAUGGCAAUCAUCCAAACUAAUAAAUUAUAAAGCUUUUAAAAGAAAAUGACAACCGUUAAACAACCUAGACAACGUUGGGCAGUACAAAAUGCUUAGAAAUACAAGACAAAACGAAAUAUUGUACAUGAAUGUACAUUAAAACAAGCCAACAAAUCUGCCAAUGGGCUAAGACAAAUUUUCUUGAAUUAGGUGUUUAAAUCUAGAUUUGUUUCUAACCCCUUUGGCAGAUUUAUUUGCUUGUUUUAAGCCCAAAUUCACUUAAAUUUUAUGUUUUGUCUCCCGAAAGGCUAGGCUUAUUUUCUUAUGUCAUUUUGCUCAUCAAAAUAAUGCAUCUUAUUUUAAGACUUUUUAGAUAUUUGCAUAGUUAAAAAUUAUUUUUUGUGAAAUGUAUUCAUUCAUUCGCUACCCUUCAUACUACAGCUGUCGAAAAACCACAGCAACGUCGACAGACCUGGAAGCAAAGCUGUAUUUGUUUAACUUGCAAAGACAACGGGUAAAGUAUUUUCUUGAUUACCUAAAUGACUUGCAGUAAGAAAAUAUUUCAAUUUAUAAUAAUGAUAAUUCUGUCAUCAUUUACUCAUCCUCCUGUUGUUUUAAACCUGUAUGCGUUCGUUUUUUCUGAUUAACACAAAAGAAGAUAUUUUGAGGAAUGAUGGUAAACCCACAGCAGAUAGUGACCAUUGACUUCCAUAGUAGGAAUAAAAAAAUAUGAUGAAAUUUAAUAGGUACCAUCAACUGUGUGCUAACCAUCAUUUUUCAAAAUAUUUUCUUCAUCAUUUAUCACGAUACUUCCAAAAUAUUUUUUUCCUACUAUGGAAGUCAAUGAUAAUGUAUUUCAUUAUUUGCUUUACAAGCCUGAAAAUGAUAGGUUGGAAUCCAGGUGACAGGAUUCUAUGGUAGUCAAAAACAGGUAAACAAGUAAAAUAAUCACCAUUUACUUUUAAAGCAUUUUGAAAAUUGCUUGCUUAUGCUGGAAGUAAAGGUAUUUAAUGCAGUGCGCAUCGUGUUUAAAAGGUAAUGUAUGAUUCUUUUAAAGCUGACACAUUUGCCACAUUAAAAUAACAGAAAUGUACUGUUUCAACAUUUUGGAGCCGGUGUGUCUGUGUUCUUGGGGCACAUCUAAAUGUAAGAGCAGAAUUGCUUAUUAUUCUUCUCUAUUUCUUGUAUAGGUCAAUUAUGAGUGAAGAACCGUUCACCAAAUGAAGACCACAGCCAGGUGACGGGAUUGUGUGGUAAUCACAAACAGGUUGAAAAUUGAAGUUCUGUGUGUUCUUUUUGUACUUUAUUUAUUUCUGCAGGUAAGCACCAUACCGUAAGCUUCAUUCCCUUUAUAACAGGUAAGGUUCAUACUGUUUUAUUCUUUUAUACUGUUUUAUUUUAAAUCAUUCAGUAAAUGCAAAGUUAAACCGAUGGUGUUUUUAAUCUAGAUUUAAAAGUGCCUACUGUUGAAACACAUCUGAUCUCAUCUGAAAGCUGAUUCCAGCUAUACAGGUUUAAAAGUGCCCACUGUUGAAACACAUCUGAUCUCAUUUGAAAGCUGAUUCCAGCUACAGAUCUAAAAGUGUCUUCUGUUGAAACACAUCUGAUCUCUUCUGAAAGCUGAUUCCAGCUACAGAUUUAAAAGUGCCUACUGUUGAAACACAUCUGAUCUCAUCUGAAAGCUGAUUCCAGCUACAG